This 73-nucleotide transfer RNA is filed under the name Marmota monax (woodchuck). RNAcentral's name for it is "tRNA.Ala". The record is from RNAcentral. Lineage: Eukaryota; Metazoa; Chordata; Mammalia; Rodentia; Sciuridae.
UGGGAUGUGGCUCAAGCAGUAGGGCGCUCACCUGGCAAGGGUGGGGUGCUGGGUUCAAUCCUCAGCACCACAU